UACGGAAGGCAGCAGUGGGGAAUAUUGCACAAUGGGCGCAAGCCUGAUGCAGCCAUGCCGCGUGUAUGAAGAAGGCCCUUCGGGUUGUAAAGUACUUUCAGUCGUGAGGAAGGUGUUAAGGUUAAUAACCUUAGCAAUUGACGUUAGCGACAGAAGAAGCACCGGCUAACUCCGUGCCAGCAGCCGCGGUAAUACGGAGGGUGCGAGCGUUAAUCGGAAUUACUGGGCGUAAAGGGCACGCAGGCGGUUAAUUAAGUUGGAUGUGAAAUCCCCGGGCUUAACCUGGGAAUGGCAUUCAAGACUGGUUAGCUAGAGUCUUGUAGAGGGGGUAGGAAUUCCAUGUGUAGCGGUGAAAUGCGUAGAGAUGUGGAGGAAUACCGGUGGCGAAGGCGGCCCCUGGGACAAAGACUGACGCUCAUGUGCGAAAGCGUGGGGAGCAAACAGGGAUUAGAUACC
This 456-nucleotide ribosomal RNA is filed under the name uncultured bacterium. RNAcentral describes it as "bacterial SSU rRNA". It matches the Rfam family "Bacterial small subunit ribosomal RNA", at positions 340 to 786 of the family's 1533-position model. The record is from RNAcentral.